AAUAUAGAUGAAUGGAGAUGAAAAAUAAAAAUCUCCACUCCUAUUGGUCAAAAAUCAUGACCAAUGGGCUUUGAGGAGGCUGCCCGAGGCCAUAUUAGGGAUUAGGGUUAGUUUCCGGAGGCCAUUCGAGUUUUUGAGGCUAGGGCAAAAGGUUUAGGUUUUUGGAUAUGGUUUUGGUGCAAAAUUUGUGUCAUUUGGGGUUUAUAUGAAGAAGUUAUAGGCGCUCAAAGUUAAGGUGUAAGUUUUCGACGUACUGUCACUCUUUUGAGCAUACCGCAAGCGUACGGACGGCAAACGAGGAUCGGCGACCGGAUUUGAAGAGAACACUUUUUCGGCUACAGUUUGUGCAUAUUGUUUAUCGAAUUCCAAGCUUUUAUGAAGGAGAUAUUGGCAGUUGAAGUCAGCGCUUGAUAUCUAAGGGUAGUAAGUAGCCCGAAUUACUUGUGCUUGUGAUUUGAGCUAUAUCUUAGACAAUUUGAUGAGGUUUUAGCUCAAAAUUUUCAAGAUUAAGUGCAAUCUUGUUAUAAAGCU
Molecule: long non-coding RNA, 531 nt
Filed under: Physcomitrium patens
Lineage: Eukaryota; Viridiplantae; Streptophyta; Bryopsida; Funariales; Funariaceae
Description: long non-coding RNA (PPAT_LNC012740)
Source: RNAcentral